GAAGACGAUUCAGCUGUGUGACUGGAAGGGUGGAGCCUGGCUGCACCUCUCUUAGACCUCAUUGAAGGGCUGACUGCUAUUGAGAAAGGAUCUCUGGUUAGAGAUCCAUCCCUUGUGGAGUUUUUCCUGUGGAACUUCAAUCUUCAGAGACAGGGAACAGCAUGGAGCACCCCAAGGUGGGACCAGGGAUGUCUCUCCGCACCGAUGGUGACCCAGUUCCUCUCACCUUGGAGCGAUGGACCUCGCCAUCAUCAUCCUCGCCACCGACCCCCAGGAUCUUGCGUGUCUUCAACCUGCUCACCAGGUCGGUCUGGCUGUGCUUCUUCAUCAGCG
RNAcentral lists this long non-coding RNA (333 nucleotides) under Gallus gallus (chicken). Lineage: Eukaryota; Metazoa; Chordata; Aves; Galliformes; Phasianidae. The record is from RNAcentral.